Molecule: ribosomal RNA, 945 nt
Filed under: uncultured bacterium
Lineage: Bacteria
Description: bacterial SSU rRNA
Rfam family: Bacterial small subunit ribosomal RNA
Source: RNAcentral
AGAGUUUGAUCAUGGCUCAGAGCGAACGUUAGCGGCAGGCUUAACACAUGCAAGUCGCGCGAGAAUGGAGGAGCAAUCCUCCUAGUAAAGCGGCGGACGGGUGAGUAACACGUGGGUAAUGUGCCCUUCAGCAGGGGAUAACCAGCCGAAAGGCUGGCUAAUACCGCAUACGUCGGCGAGGUCUCCGGACCUCGUCGGGAAAGGUGGCCUCUCCAUGGAAGCUACCACUGAAGGAGCAGCCCGCGUCCCAUCAGCUAGUUGGCGGGGUAACGGCCCACCAAGGCAAAGACGGGUAGCUGGUCUGAGAGGAUGAUCAGCCACACUGGAACUGAGACACGGUCCAGACUCCUACGGGAGGCAGCAGUGGGGAAUAUUGGGCAAUGGGCGCAAGCCUGACCCAGCCAUGCCGCGUGAGUGAUGAAGGCCUUCGGGUCGUAAAGCUCUGUGGGGAGGGACGAAACAACCUGGUGAUAACACCGCCGGGUCUUGACGGUACCUCCUUAGCAAGCACCGGCUAACUCCGUGCCAGCAGCCGCGGUAAUACGGAGGGUGCAAACGUUGCUCGGAAUCAUUGGGCGUAAAGCGCACGUAGGCGGCCUGUUAAGUCGGGUGUGAAAUCCCUCGGCUCAACCGAGGGAGUGCAUUCGAAACUGGCAGGCUUGAAUGUGGAAGAGGGUCGUGGAAUUCCCGGUGUAGAGGUGAAAUUCGUAGAUAUCGGGAGGAACACCAGUGGCGAAAGCGGCGACCUGGGCCAACAUUGACGCUGAGUGCGAAAGCGUGGGGAGCAAACGGGAUUAGAUACCCUGGUAGUCCACGCCGUAACGAUGGAUGCUAGUGUUGGGGGUAUUGACCCCUCCAGUGCCGCAGUUAACGCAUUAGCAUCCCGCCUGGGGAGUACGGCCGCAAGGCUAAACUCAAAGGAAUUGACGGGGCCCGCACAAGCGU